GAGAGUUCAAGAGGGCGUGAAACCGCUGAGGUGGAAACGGAUAGAGUUGACGAAACUAGGCGACAUUCAACCGGUUGUCUCAGCGGCCCUACGGUUUUGCGCCUCGAUGAGGGCAAAGACGUGGUAAGCUGCCGAGUUCUUGAUUGGUGUAUUUGCCGUCGGUAUGCGCUGAGGGAUUCGCCGUCGUGCGUCAACACAUGCGUAGUGGACCACCCCUUUUGGGCGUGGAACCCUGCACAUGUUGAGGCGUAUUGCCAGUGAAGAUUUUCCUAUCGUCUCCGCCACAGUGCGAUCAUCAUCGCUAGGCUAGCAUAAUCGAAGGCGGUCGCGUGCGACUUGCCUACGGUUGUCGCAAGUCAGCGUUUGAUCUUAUCGCGUUGAGACGUCUACCUCGGUGUGAAAGUUAACCACCUAUCCGACCCGUCUUGAAACACGGACCAAGGAGUCUAGCAUAUGCGCGAGUCAUUGGGUGGAAAACCUAAAAGGCGUAAUGAAAGUAAAGGUUGCCUAGAUGCGGCUGAUAUGGGAUCCGUGAGGUUUUGGCUUCGCGGCGCACCAUAGCCCCGUCCCCGUUGCUUGCAAUAGGGCGGAGGUAGAGCGCAUACGCUGGGACCCGAAAGAUGGUGAACUAUGCCUGAGCAGGAUGAAGCCAGAGGAAACUCUGGUGGAGGUCCGAAGCGGUUCUGACGUGCAAAUCGAUCGUCUGACUUGGGUAUAGGGGCGAAAGACUAAUCGAACCAUC
RNAcentral lists this ribosomal RNA (742 nucleotides) under Ichthyocephaloides sumbatus. RNAcentral's name for it is "eukaryotic LSU rRNA". It matches the Rfam family "Eukaryotic large subunit ribosomal RNA", at positions 383 to 944 of the family's 3401-position model. The record is from RNAcentral. Lineage: Eukaryota; Metazoa; Nematoda; Chromadorea; Rhabditida; Ichthyocephalidae.